RNAcentral lists this ribosomal RNA (406 nucleotides) under uncultured bacterium. Its description in RNAcentral is "partial 16S ribosomal RNA". It matches the Rfam family "Bacterial small subunit ribosomal RNA", at positions 30 to 526 of the family's 1533-position model. The record is from RNAcentral.
AUUGAACGCUGGCGGCAGGCCUAACACAUGCAAGUCGAACGAGUGGCCGACGGGUGAGUACUGUCUGGGAAACUGCCCGAUGGAGGGGGAUAACUCCUGGAAACGGUAGCUAAUACCCCCUACCAUCGGAUGUGCCCCCAUGGGAUUAUCUUGUAGGUGAGGUAACGGCUCACCUAGGCGACGAUCCCUCGCUGGUCUGAGAGGAUGACCAGCCACACUGGAGCUGAGACACGGUCCAGACUCCUACGGUAGGCAGCAGUGGGGAAUAUUGCACAAUGGGCGCAAGCCUGAUGCAGCCAUGCCGCGUGUAUGAAGAAGGCCUUCGGGUUGUAAAGUACUUUAAGCGGGGAGGCGUUACCCGAAGAAGAAGCACCGGCUAACUCCGUGCCAGCAGCCGCGGUAAGAG